AGGGGAAGGGGUUGGGCCAGAGGCGGAGAUGAUCUCAUCGCAGAGGGUGUGACCAAGUAGGUAUUGGUUUCUCUGGUCGAACGUCAUGUUGCACCUGCGCUGUCAGUUGGUAAUUUUCCCGGGCACGGGAUGGUGCCUGUGCUACAAAGUAACAAUUUUCGCGGCCACGCAGGGGGAAAAACAAGUGAAGAAGAAGCAGGAAGAGCGCCAUCUAUUAUGAGAAACCUAAAAUGUACAUUGAAAGAAGAUUUGUUCACAUAUCCCAGGAUGGCAAACUAUAGCUCUGGCAGGUGAGAGAGCAAGAAGUCAAGGUCCUAUUACAAGGUGAAACAAGGGAAGAAAAGAAAAAAUGAAAUCUGCUAAAUGAGUUGUAGUUUUAUUCAUGCUGAGAAGAAAUACAAAGAAAACUGCUUUGAUUCCUGCUUUUAGACAUUUGGCCCCAAAUGAUAAUUGCUUGCUCCACUGGUCUUCCAGAAGAUAUAGUUUCCCAGCAGUCAAUGUCUAUACAGCCCUUCUUGAAAUUCUUCCACAGUGAAUCUUUGGAAUCUUCCUUGCCUCCAGUAAUUCUACUUGAGCCCAGCACACAGAAACUUUAAAUGUGUGUAUUCCUGGUCUUUUUAAGUGAAAGGCACAGAAUAUGGCAAUCUCUUUAUUCAGAAAAAAAGUAGGCAGUUCAUCCCAAGGAAUGCAGCACUCAGCAGAGAGGAGACCUGGAGUGGGUAGCGUCUAUCCAGAGGCAAGUCUUCCCGAUAUCUGUACAGCUCUCAGCAGAGAGAAGACACAGAGUGGGCAGCUCCUAUCUGCAGGCAGGUUGUCCCAUUGAGUCUGCAGCCUUCAGCAGAGGGAAGACCUGGAAUGAGUAGCUCCUAACCACAGGAAGGUCAUCCCAACAUCUCUAUGAGGAAGUUUAAUCCAAAAGUGAUGGAAGAAGACAGCUCUCUGCCAAGGAGAGAGGGCGCCAAGUGGUUGCCCACUAUCAGGCUGGGGUCCGGGAUUUUUAUGGACUGGGAAGAGGAAUUCAUUAUCUGGAAGUAUGAUGGACAGAGUGAGCAUAUAUGGAAAUAACACUUUGAAGCUUCUUUGGACACUGGGAACUAACUGCUGUCAGAGGUUGAACAUGCUCUUGAAAUAAAACUACCCCAGGCAACACAAGCAAGUUUUAAAGAACAUCUGUUGAACACUAACAGAAACAUAAGUUAUGUGAAAUAAAAAAUGAGCUAU
Molecule: non-coding RNA, 1221 nt
Organism: Macaca mulatta (Rhesus monkey)
Lineage: Eukaryota; Metazoa; Chordata; Mammalia; Primates; Cercopithecidae
Source: RefSeq, a predicted model, not a curated record